RNAcentral lists this ribosomal RNA (368 nucleotides) under uncultured organism. RNAcentral's name for it is "bacterial SSU rRNA". It matches the Rfam family "Bacterial small subunit ribosomal RNA", at positions 45 to 433 of the family's 1533-position model. The record is from RNAcentral.
UGCUUUAAGCAUGCAAGUGGAACGAGAGUAGCAAUACUCAAGUCGCGAACGGCUGAGUAACACGUAAGAACUUACCCCUUGGUGGUGAAUACCUCGUCGAAAGACGAGCUAAUGCAGCAUAAGAUCGUGAGAUGAAAGCACGUAACUGUGCGCCGAGGGAGAGGCUUGCGGCCUAUCAGUUUGUUGGUGGGGUAAUGGCCUACCAAGACUACGACGGGUAGGGGACGUGAGAGCGUGACCCCCCAGAAUGGGACUGAGACACGGCCCAUACACCUACGGGUGGCAGCAACUGGGAAUCGUGCGCAAUGGACGAAAGUCUGACGCCGCGACGCCGCGUGUUUGAUGAAGGCAUUCGUGUCGUAAACCUC